GAGGCAGAUCAGGGCCUGGUUGUAUCUUUGGACUGUAACCUAUACAGGUGGGAUUAGAUUGCUAAGAAUACUUCCUGGGGGUUUUCUGGUGGGUCUUGGCUAUCUUCAGGUACCUUCUGCAUGGCUCUGGAAUUUCACUUAAACACAGGUACUGUGCCUGGCUCUCCAAAGUCACCCUUUUCUAUGGGAGAAGAGAAAUCUACCAGGGAGGGAGCCAGCCUUUUGAUUUUUUAAGCACAUGAAAAAUCCCCAUCUCCUUGUAGGCCUGAAGAGAAAUUCAGCAGGGCUGGCAUUUCCUACUUUCUGAACACACCACCCACCAACUUACCAAGGGUGCUGCAGUGAAGACGGGAAAAUAGCAGAUUGCAGUUGUCAUGGUGAUUAUAUCAAGCCACCACGCUCAGAAGAUGGUGGUGAGAAGCCAGGCACGGAGAUGGAAAAGACCCCCACGCAAUCCACAGUUCCCAGCUUUUAGUCCGGAGACUCCUCCCUCUUCUCACAAGAGUCCCCUUCUCCCUAGCGCUGCAACCAGGCAGGUGGAGAGGAUGAUAGGAGAAGGAACACAGAAGGGCAAGGGCUCAGACAGUUGCAUCUCACUCGCUCAGCAAAGCAGUGCCUGGGGGCCAGGAAGAUAAUUUAAAUAAACUCAAGAGACGAGAAAAGAAAUACACUCCUUGCCCCUGCUCAGAAGCAACAGGACUAAGCCAGCUUGUUUUGCCUCUAACCUUACAGGACCUAUGUUUUCCUUUGUCAUUUAUCUCCUUCCUGUGUUUGCCAACCACUGUGUACAAUUCUCUUGGCAUGUGCAUCCUCCUUCCAAGGGAAGCAAUCCUUGGCUAUAGUUAACUACUACGACACCCCAGACACCCCAGAGCUAUUAGCACCAUGCUGCCCCUUGCCCCCCAAAUGAGAGAACAGAAAAAUUCAUGAAAUCAAUAUUAGGUCAGUUAUCCUUUUCUGCUUAAUAUGUUUAAA
Long non-coding RNA from Zalophus californianus (California sea lion), 975 nucleotides. RefSeq lists it as uncharacterized. The record is from RefSeq and is a predicted model, not a curated record. The transcript has 4 exons. Lineage: Eukaryota; Metazoa; Chordata; Mammalia; Carnivora; Otariidae.